Molecule: ribosomal RNA, 305 nt
Filed under: Lamproderma aeneum
Lineage: Eukaryota; Evosea; Eumycetozoa; Stemonitida; Stemonitidae
Description: bacterial SSU rRNA
Rfam family: Eukaryotic small subunit ribosomal RNA
Source: RNAcentral
UCUGAAUCUGCGAACGGCUCCGCAAACCAGUUGUAAACUAGAGCAAGCUAGUCUGGCGGGCUUCGGCCUCCAGGCGAUAUGGAUAACCCUGGUAAUUCUGAGGCUAAUACAUGACCGCAAAACCGAGCAGCCCAGCAAUGGAUGCCCGGGGAUGUGCGAUAUGGCUUGACAAUACCGGGAAAGGACGCACACUCAGACCGCGCUAAAAAGGAUCAGGACUCUCUUCGGAGAACUUGGCCCCAGCGGCUCUUGCUGUGUGCUUCUGACCUAUCAACUAGACGGCAGCGUAAUGGACAUGCUAUGGU